GGAGUCAACGAUUGAUCAAGUUCAAGAUGUGGGUUCGAGUAUAUUUGAUGUCAUUGGGAAAGUGAUUGGUGUUGCUAUUGAAGUUGUGAAGCCUGGGAUUGAUGCUGCAUUGCCUAUUUUAAAGCAAGUAGCAGAGCAAGCUCAGAAGCUUGCUUCCCCUGCAAUUUCAGAGGCAUCUAAGAAAGCUCAAGAGGCAAUUCAGAGCUCUGGCAUUGACACAGGGCUUGUGAUAACUACAGCUAAGCACUUGCAUGAUCAACUGUAACUGAAGAUUAAAACUUCACAUCUUCGUGGCUGCAGCACAACCAAGAGGCAAGCAAUUGAGCUUGACCGUUUGAGAAGUGAAAUUGAAGAGCAUCAAAGAAGGGUAGUUGCAGCAGAUGAAUGAGCUAUACAAAUUGCAGAAGAAUUCAGUGCCCAAAAGGAGCUAAUUAAGAACUUGCAAGAGCAGUAACUUGAAACUAGGGGGUUGUACGAGGAGUUAAUUGCCCAAAUGAAAGACUUGCGCAAAUGACAGACUAUUGAAAAGUCCAGCUUGAUAUUGAUCAUGAGGAGGCUGUUGGAUAUGAUGAUAGAGAUGGUUGAAGUCUGGCAUUGGUGUCGUGGUCUAUGCUUUAGUUUAGAAAUCUAGUACUCUUUUUUUGGGAAGGAUAUGUAUUGGUCAUUACUGCUUGAA
Long non-coding RNA from Coffea arabica (coffee), 676 nucleotides. RefSeq lists it as uncharacterized. The record is from RefSeq and is a predicted model, not a curated record. Lineage: Eukaryota; Viridiplantae; Streptophyta; Magnoliopsida; Gentianales; Rubiaceae.